Molecule: ribosomal RNA, 443 nt
Filed under: uncultured bacterium
Lineage: Bacteria
Description: partial 16S ribosomal RNA
Rfam family: Bacterial small subunit ribosomal RNA
Source: RNAcentral
CCUACGGGAGACUGCAGUGGGGAAUAUUGGGCAAUGGGCGCAAGCCUGACCCAGCAACGCCGCGUGAAGGAAGAAGGCUUUCGGGUUGUAAACUUCUUUUCUCAGGGACGAAGCAAGUGACGGUACCUGAGGAAUAAGCCACGGCUAACUACGUGCCAGCAGCCGCGUUAAUACGGAGGUGGCAAGCGUUAUCCGGAUUUACUGGGUGUAAAGGGCGUGUAGGCGGGAAAGCAAGUCAGAUGUGAAAACCAUGGGCUCAACCUGUGGCCUGCAUUUGAAACUGUUUUUCUUGAGUACUGGAGAGGCAGACGGAAUUCCUAGUGUAGCGGUGAAAUGCGUAGAUAUUAGGAGGAACACCAGUGGCGAAGGCGGUCUGCUGGACAGCAACUGACGCUGAGGCGCGAAAGCGUGGGGAGCAAACAGGAUUAGAUACCCCUGUAGUC